This is an RNA transcript of Drosophila simulans, 4878 nucleotides long. It is a transcript of the gene named pneumococcal serine-rich repeat protein, with no coding region annotated. The transcript is spliced from 4 exons. The record is from RefSeq and is a predicted model, not a curated record. NCBI's taxonomy places the organism in Eukaryota, Metazoa, Arthropoda, Insecta, Diptera, Drosophilidae.
AGCUUCUCUGCUGGUCUACAGGCUAGCCACUCGGUCAGUUGAACAUUUUCCAUGCUGUGAUCAAGUUGUCUUUUCCUUUGAGCGCCGAGCGCUGUGCACGCCUGGGACUUGGAACGUUUCGAAAUCGGGCUGACAGUCAUUUAGAAAGUAUUCGAGAAAAUAUUCGAAAGUUAAAGCGCUAAAUAUAUGUUUAGAAUUCCCGACUUAAGCCACCAGUUUAGUGUGUGUACUCUCGAGCAGCAAGUGCGUGAAUCGGUGGCGGCCAAGUGCAAAUGCAAACAAACCAAAUAUACAAGACACAAAAAUGUUGAAACGACGGACUGACUUACAUGCAUUUUAUUAGUAAAUAACAAAUACAACCGAAUAAAACCAAAACAAAAAACCCAAUAUCAUUACAACCGAAAACACCAACGGAAAAAAACAGCCGCAAACAUUUUUGUAAAACAAAUGAUUAAAAAGGUUUCGCCAGCAAAGAAAAACAAGCAAAAACCAACAAGCGCGUGGAAAUCGAAUGCUGAAAAUCGCCCAUAAAACGCAUAAAUAAAUAAACUAUGCUCAAGCGAAAUUAAUUAAAAAAGAAUGGAAAAUCAAAUCAGGCAAGAUAAUUAAAACAGUAAGCGCGCACACGGCAAAUAAGGCAACGGCAAUAUCCUGCCGCAAAAAUUGAAAAUAUCCUGUAAGACGGCUGGGAAAAAGGACGAGCCCCACGAACAGAAAGGAAAAUGAGGUCGACGAAGGCGAACCCAAAGGCCGGAGUGGAUCCCAAAAUUUUGUGCUUUUGUAUUUGCCAAUUUUAAUGAGUGUAGCAAGCAAACCAAGCAAGAAAAACAAAAACCAAAUCCAAAAAACAGAAAUAGAAACAGAAACCUAAAACUUUAGCAAACAACAAAAAACACCACAACAACCACAUCAAUAACAGAGCAUUUUGUACAACAAGCACAACAAAAGCUUGAAAAGUCCCACCAUUAUCAUCAUCAACAACAAUAACAACAACAACAAAGACUCAUUUGAAUUGCAACAAAUAAUAGACAACAAGAACAACAACCAGCACGUACACAAUGUGACAAUAAAACAGUGUGGCCAGUAGCAGCUAGAAAGCAAAAAGCCAAAAAGGAAUUUAAUUGCACGCACUAGACGAGAAGUAGCCAUAAAAGAGCCAGCAGAAACAGCCAAAAAAAUAAAGCCAAAAAAAGCCAAAAACACCAAAAACAACCAGAACACCGAAACAGUGAUAAAAAUCGAGAACGAGCGCACAAGCAGAGAGAAAUCCGAGAACGCAGACGAGAAAGCAGAAGUUAUAUAAUAUCAAUUCAAGCGUACUUUUCCAACUUGUUUCCUCUCUUGUUGUCGAAUGUCCUUGCACCGCCUUUAAACUCUCGCUCUGUGUGUGUGCAUCCCGUUCACAUAUGUGUGUGUGUCUCCCGCCCCACCAGCCACCUUCCCCCACAUCCGUUCCACGAUCGGUGUCCGUGUUUGUCGUGUAGCACCACCACCACCUAGAGCAAUCCAGCACCACCAAACCAGCAAUAAAGAGCACCCUCACAAGUAUAAAUAAGAUCAAAACCGCAGCAACCACAAUAUAUACCACCUGCAAUCGCAAUAGAAAUCGCAAUCGCAAUAGCAAUAGCAAUAGCAAUCGACUUGGCGGUGCAACCACCCUAAGAGCCAGCUGAACCACCGACCUCUGGGGCUGACAGACAGGUCAGAGUGAAGUACCCACUAGCCAACCCAAAUAGCCUCCUGGUUCCUGGUAGCUCCCGAUAGCUCCCCCGAUUGAUCCACUCCACAUAACCACAUACCAGCACCACAAUUGCACAUUACUACCAUAGAUACCCCCGGCAGUACUACUACCGCAUGGAGCGCGGCACCAGCGGUGGUCAGCAGCAGCAGCACCAGCAGCAGCAGCAGUCAUCGCACCACCACCACCAGCAGCAGCAGUCGUCGCACCACCAGCAGCAACACGCGCACCACCAGCAGCAGCGACACCACCAGCAUGUCGUCGCCGUGCACAGCUUCGAUCCGUAUCUGACCGUCGGCGGGGCGGACGAGGAGCACACGUCCGGCACCUCGUCCUUUGACAAUCCCGCCACCAAAAAGAAGCCGCCCAAGCUGAAGCCCAUCCACCGAUCCCUGUCCAUGGCCAUCGAUAAUUAUGCACCGUCUUCCGGGGAUCUCGACAUGGAUUUGGACAUGGAAAUGGGCAUGGAGAUGGGCAUGGACAUGGACCUGGACAUGGAGAUGGACCUGGAGGGCGAGGGCAUCAUCAUCAGUGAGAAGCCGCUGAUCCACCGCUCGGCCUCGCCCCUGCCCCAUUCCCGAUCCGGAGCCCUACCCCCGCAGACCCUAGCUAUCCCAGCACAACAGCAACAGCAACAUAUUCUAUCCCAUCCCAGCCAGCGUGGCGGCGGUGGUGGCACCGGCAGUGGUGCCGUUUCCCCAGCCCUUUCUGCCCGCCAGCAACACCAUCACCUCCUCCAACAACAACAACAACAACAACACCACCACCAGCAACAACAACACCAACAACAACAACAGCAACAUCAGUUGCACUUGCACACUUUUCAGCAACUUGCCGCACAGGCAGCUGCUGCACGGCAUCAGACAACCCACCAGCAGCAUUCACUAUCGCACCGCCAACAUCCGCAACAACAUACGCAUCCACAUCAACAGCUUCAACAUCCGCAUCCGCAUCAGCAUGCGCACUCGAAGAGCUCACCAACCUCACACGCGGUUAGCCCGGUGCUGGGCCAACAGCACCGCCAGCAGCCGGACAUUUACCUGGUCAGCAGCAGCAGCAGCCUGGGCGAUGGUGUCGGUGUGGGCAGCUUGGGCGUGGGCAUGGGCAUGGGCAUGGGGCGAUCGUUGGGCGGGAGCACAUCGCCCAUUCAGUUCAUCGACAUGGACGAUAUGCCCAAUCCGACGGUGGCCCCGCAUCAGCGCCCAAUGCAUCCGCUGAAGAAGAACCUGUUCCGGCGAUCCGACACCAUUGACGUCCAUCCGUCUACCAAUUUUCAGAUGAAGAAAACGCAUUCCUUCCACGCGCAACAGGAUCCCGCCGCCCUGGACCAAAUCCAGCUGGCCGUAGCAGCCGGCUCGGCGACCUCCAGUCGUCGCACCAGUUCGGUGAGGGGCAACUUCCUAAUGCCCGGUCCACCGGCCGGCGCCAAAGAGAUAUCCCGCUCACCGUCGCCCAGCCGACGGGGCUGUCGCUCCCACCGAUCGUUCAACGAUCCCGGUCGGAGGCCCAGCGUGAAGCCGGACUCGGUGGUGGAAUCGCAGAUACGACAUCCCUCGCUGAACGAUGACCUCAUGGAGCCGAUGAACGGUCGGAAUCUCUUUGCGGCACCCACCAAUCUGUCGCUAGAGAAUGAGCUGUUCGUGGACACGCGUUCGCGCAGCAACAGUCACACCAAGAUGGAGGAGCUUGGUCUGGCGGAGAUCACCGCCGCUGCCGUGGCCGUGCAGCGAUUGCGCAAGAGCUCCGGAGCAGGAUCCUUUGAGGAUGCAACCGCCGGCCACAGUGCCACCCACCCGCCUUCAGCAGCAAACAGCAUCAAGCAGAAGCGGGACUCACACCACCCACACACCCGCCAAGUUAGCACUCACAGUUUGGAGCUAGACGGACGACCAUCGACCUCUGCGGCAGCGGCAGCCGCAGCAGCGGGCGGACAUGGCCUGCAGCUCCACAGCGCGGCGGCGGCGGCCAGUGCAGCGUACCACUUUAAGCGGGGCGCUCAGCACGGACGGUCGCUCUACCUGUCGCCCAGUAAUCUGGAGGAGCUAGCCGUCCACCGGCCAGGUGUUCUGGCUGCAGCAGCGGCUUUCCAGGGCACAAACGCCAGUGCCAGUGUUAAGCAGGCCAAGGCCCUGCACAGCGCAAGCGUACGACUCCGCAGCUAUCGGGAGACACUGAGCGCCUCCAAAAAGUCCAAGAGCUUCAUCGGAGACGCCAGUGCUGGCAGCGGUCCGCAGGCGGGCGACGACUUCGAGCUGAGCUCGCCCCACCGACGCAACAGUCGCCCGCUAUCCACAGUUGUGCCUGGGUCCAGCAUCGAGGAAAUCAAGAGGAGUCCUCGACCCAUUUCCGCUUCGGCGGCGGCGGCCGCCUUCUUGGAGGAGAAGCGACCCAGCUUCGAGAGGAAAUCCUCGUUGACGUACGACCACGAGCUGAGCGAUGCCGCCUUUGCGGCCCAGGUGCUGAGGCCCUUCCACCACAAACUGGCUGCCGGAAGGAAGGGGUCCGUGACCGGAGGCUCGCACAAACUGAAGAAGAAGUCGCUGAGCGAUGACACCGACGAGGAUGAGGCGGCGGAUCGCAAGCGCAAGCGGAUCGUCUGCAUUGUCCUGUCCACGGUCCUGUUGUGCCUGGUGUGCGCCAGCGUUUUUGUGCUGACCAUCACGCUGACCUCCAGCUCCGGCCAGGGCGGAAAGAAGGCGCAUUCGUUCAGCAGGGACACCCCCGUCCACUGGACGGGCAUGCGGCCCUCAUGAACUCCAACGCAGAGGCUGUGCUUCGGCCAAUUCACCAACCUGCCAGCUGGUUAUCCCCUGACUUUGGACUCGAUUUCGUUAACGUUUGCGUUUUCGCUUCCGCUUCGAUUCCGUGCUGUCGUUCCGCUCUACGUUUUGUUUCCUCUGAGUCUCCGGGUCUCUGGUGGCCCCGAAUUGUCCAACUGACGUUUAAAGACUGCGGGAAAGAAGCAACUAGAGGAGAGGCAGCGGCAACUAUCGAAGAGUCUUGCGACAGGAGAACGAGCGCAACUUCCGCGAGAAUCUGGAGCGCACCUGGAUGAUGAAGAACCGCACCGAGCUGAAUCUGCAGCGCCAGCAGAUGGAGAUGCAGCAGCAGCACGUCGUUCCAUGAGCGGAAGGAAGGAA